AAAAAGAUAAGCUAAUUAAGCUAUUGGGUUCAUACCCCAUUUAUAGAAGUUUUAAUCUUCUUCUUUUUA
Molecule: transfer RNA, 69 nt
Filed under: Janus sp. 1 GYN-2022d
Lineage: Eukaryota; Metazoa; Arthropoda; Insecta; Hymenoptera; Cephidae
Description: tRNA-Met
Rfam family: tRNA
About the family: Transfer RNA (tRNA) molecules are approximately 80 nucleotides in length.
Source: RNAcentral